This 253-nucleotide ribosomal RNA is filed under the name uncultured bacterium. Its description in RNAcentral is "partial 16S ribosomal RNA". It matches the Rfam family "Bacterial small subunit ribosomal RNA", at positions 524 to 776 of the family's 1533-position model. The record is from RNAcentral.
UACGUAGGGACCGAGCGUUGUCCGGAAUCAUUGGGCGUAAAGAGCGUGUAGGCGGCCACUUAAGUCCUGCGUGAAAUCUUGCGGCUCAACCGCAAGCGGUCGUGGGAAACUGGGUGGCUAGAGUGCGGGAGAGGAAAGUGGAAUUCCUGGUGUAGCGGUGAAAUGCGCAGAUAUCAGGAGGAACACCGAUGGCGAAGGCAGGUCUCUGGGCAUUAACUGACGCUGAGGAGCGAAAGCAUGGGGAGCGAACAGG